RNAcentral lists this ribosomal RNA (464 nucleotides) under uncultured bacterium. RNAcentral describes it as "partial 16S ribosomal RNA". It matches the Rfam family "Bacterial small subunit ribosomal RNA", at positions 338 to 795 of the family's 1533-position model. The record is from RNAcentral.
CCUACGGGUGGCAGCAGUGGGGAAUUUUGCGCAAUGCUCGUAAGAGUGACGCAGCGACGCCGCGUGAAUGACGAAGGCCUUCGGGUCGUAAAGUUCUUUCGACAGGGAAGAAAAUGCCUAUAAGUAACUGUGUAUGUAUUGACGGUACCUGUAUAAGCAGCCCCGGCUAACUCCGUGCCAGCAGCCGCGGUAAUACGGAGGAUGCGAGCGUUAUCCGGAUUUAUUGGGUUUAAAGGGUGCGCAGGCGGUCUGUUAAGUCAGCGGUCAAAGCCCGGGGCUCAACCCCGGCCCGCCGUUGAAACUGGCAGUCUCGAGUUGGAGAGAAGUAUGCGGAAUGCGCGGUGUAGCGGUGAAAUGCAUAGAUAUCGCGCAGAACUCCGAUUGCGAAGGCAGCAUGCCGGCUCCACACUGACGCUGAGGCACGAAAGCGUGGGUAUCGAACAGGAUUAGAUACCCGAGUAGUC